AUAUAUAUAUAUAUAUAUAUAUAUAUAUAUGGACAAUGUAAUAGAGAAAUGUCAUAAUGAAGAGAAAGAUAUUUCUUCAUGCAAGUCACGGUUUAAAGGAUUCUCUCCAUGAUAUCUGCUGACGAUUAAAAUUACAAAAAAUUGCGCCAAAAUUUCAAGAUUAACGUAAUCUACAGAUAUCUGCAAAAGAUAAGAAAGAGCGUUCCGAAGGCGAGACGAGAGAGACGAGAGAGACGAGAAGGUGCUUCUAUAAUCACGACUAUACUCCCGUAACUAUAACGUCUUGCACGAAACGUGACCGCGUGGUAAUCGCUCCUGUCUCGCUUCGCCGCGACAAACCAAAGACUAUAAAACGGCAGUAAAACCGACGGGGGUGAGACUCGAGCACGAGAGAAAGGGGAAAAAGGAGGAGAGAGGUCCAGCCCGGGUCAAGAGAGGCAGUUUGCUUUGACAUUGCCUAAUCAAAACAGCGACUCCUUCUCCUGUUUCUUCGUUCGUGCCUCGGAUAAAUCGAAGAAUAAAAAGGCUCGUUGGUUACGCGAUUUAUCGCUUUUUGAUAACCAAUUCGUUCGCGUUGAGAGAUCGAGAUGCAAAUACAAUUAACCCGCUAUUGCCCGCUAUUAUAUAUAUAAACAGAAGUGACUUAAAUCAAAAUAGAGAAUAUGACUCGCUUAUCAUUUUAAAAUAUAAUAUUGAAUAUCACAUAUAUAUUUUUAGAAACGUAUAUAAGAAUCGAGAUAAUAAUACCAGGUGUCUGUGAAACCUUAUGCAUUACUACGUACAUUACUUAUGUUACAGAGAUAAAAAGGAUGUAAAAAUGUACACUGGAUUUAUAAAAAGGGGGUUAAUCGUUGCUUCUUGGCGGACCAACUCGUCGACGAUAACGCACGAUAGCGACCGCAGAGACGAGAGGCGGGAGGGAAAUGGUAGGAACAAUCGAACAUGAUCGGCCGGUCGAUGUUGCUAAACACGGUCAUUGUGCCGGGUUAACAAUACUCCGCUAUAUCAGCAACAUAGGCGUUCGUAAGUCCCAGCAUUCGGUCAACAAUUCGCGCACCCGGCCAUUGCAGCUGUUGAAAAAUAUCCGGCCGCGCUUUGACCACCGUUGUUCUCAUUUGUUUCCGUUCCUGUCGCCAAACUUGUGUGAUCCGCGAUUUUUGUAAAUCUUCGGCCAAAAGCUGUUCCAAAGUAUGAUCUAGACCGCAGGUAAUUAAGACGAGACGUUUGUAUUUAAAUCAUAUAUGGUUGUUCUUUUUCCUGUUUUUUAAAAAAGA
Molecule: long non-coding RNA, 1274 nt
Organism: Formica exsecta
Lineage: Eukaryota; Metazoa; Arthropoda; Insecta; Hymenoptera; Formicidae
Exons: 3
Source: RefSeq, a predicted model, not a curated record